This 621-nucleotide ribosomal RNA is filed under the name uncultured bacterium. RNAcentral describes it as "bacterial SSU rRNA". It matches the Rfam family "Bacterial small subunit ribosomal RNA", at positions 202 to 842 of the family's 1533-position model. The record is from RNAcentral.
AAAAACUCUGGUGGUAUACGAUGGAUCCGCGUCUGAUUAGCUUGUUGGCGGGGUAAAGGCCCACCAAGGCAACGAUCAGUAGCCGGCCUGAGAGGGUGAACGGCCACAUUGGGACUGAGACACGGCCCAAACUCCUACGGGAGGCAGCAGUGGGGAAUAUUGCACAAUGGGGGAAACCCUGAUGCAGCGACGCCGCGUGAGUGAAGAAGUAUUUCGGUACGUAAAGCUCUAUCAGCAGGGAAGAAAAUGACGGUACCUGACUAAGAAGCCCCGGCUAACUACGUGCCAGCAGCCGCGGUAAUACGUAGGGGGCAAGCGUUAUCCGGAUUUACUGGGUGUAAAGGGAGCGCAGACGGCAGCGCAAGUCUGGAGUGAAAUCCCAUGGCUUAACCAUGGAACUGCUUUGGAAACUGUGCAGCUAGAGUGCAGGAGAGGUAAGCGGAAUUCCUAGUGUAGCGGUGAAAUGCGUAGAUAUUAGGAGGAACACCAGUGGCGAAGGCGGCUUACUGGACUGUAACUGACGUUGAGGCUCGAAAGCGUGGGGAGCAAACAGGAUUAGAUACCCUGGUAGUCCACGCUGUAAACGAUGAUUACUAGGUGUUGGGGGACCAAGGUCCUUCG